RNAcentral lists this ribosomal RNA (243 nucleotides) under uncultured bacterium. RNAcentral describes it as "partial 16S ribosomal RNA". It matches the Rfam family "Bacterial small subunit ribosomal RNA", at positions 1249 to 1500 of the family's 1533-position model. The record is from RNAcentral.
GCUACCCAGCAAUGGGAUGCGAAUCUCGAAAGCCUGUCUCAGUUCGGAUUGGAGGCUGAAACCCGCCUCCAUGAAGUUGGAUUCGCUAGUAAUCGCGCAUCAGCCAUGGCGCGGUGAAUACGUUCCCGGGCCUUGUACACACCGCCCGUCAAGCCAUGGGAGCCGGGGGUGCCUGAAGUUCGUGACCGCAAGGAGCGACCUAGGGCAAAACUGGUGACUGGGGCUAAGUCGUAACAAGGUACC